GAUGACGCUGGCGGCGUGCUUAACACAUGCAAGUCGAACGAUGAAGCCCAGCUUGCUGGGUGGAUUAGUGGCGAACGGGUGAGUAACACGUGAGUAACCUGCCCUUAACUCUGGGAUAAGCCUGGGAAACUGGGUCUAAUACCGGAUAGGAGCGUCCACCGCAUGGUGGGUGUUGGAAAGAUUUAUCGGUUUUGGAUGGACUCGCGGCCUAUCAGCUUGUUGGUGAGGUAAUGGCUCACCAAGGCGACGACGGGUAGCCGGCCUGAGAGGGUGACCGGCCACACUGGGACUGAGAAACGGCCCAGACUCCUACGGGAGGCAGCAGUGGGGAAUAUUGCACAAUGGGCGCAAGCCUGAUGCAGCGACGCCGCGUGAGGGAUGACGGCCUUCGGGUUGUAAACCUCUUUCAGUAGGGAAGAAGCGAAAGUGACGGUACCUGCAGAAGAAGCACCGGCUAACUACGUG
RNAcentral lists this ribosomal RNA (465 nucleotides) under uncultured bacterium. Its description in RNAcentral is "partial 16S ribosomal RNA". It matches the Rfam family "Bacterial small subunit ribosomal RNA", at positions 33 to 507 of the family's 1533-position model. The record is from RNAcentral.